CGGUACCUAACCAGAAAGCCACGGCUAACUACGUGCCAGCAGCCGCGGUAAUACGUAGGUGGCAAGCGUUGUCCGGAAUUAUUGGGCGUAAAGCGCGCGCAGGUGGUCCUUUAAGUCUGAUGUGAAAGCCCACGGCUCAACCGUGGAGGGUCAUUGGAAACUGGGGGACUUGAGUGCAGGAGAGAAGAGUGGAAUUCCACGUGUAGCGGUGAAAUGCGUAGAGAUGUGGAGGAACACCAGUGGCGAAGGCGACUCUUUGGCCUGUAACUGACACUGAGGCGCGAAAGCGUGGGGAGCAAACAGGAUUAGAUACCCUGGUAGUCCACGCCGUAAACGAUGAGUGCUAAGUGUUAGAGGGUUUCCGCCCUUUAGUGCUGCAGCAAACGCAUUAAGCACUCCGCCUGGGGAGUACGGCCGCAAGGCUGAAACUCAAAGCAAUUGACGGGGACCCGCACAAGCGGUGGAGCAUGUGGUUUAAUUCGAAGCCACGCGAAGAACCUUACCAGGUCUUGACAUCCUCUGACAAUCCUAGAGAUAGGACUUUCCCCUUCGGGGGACAGAGUGACAGGUGG
Molecule: ribosomal RNA, 572 nt
Filed under: Bacillus sp. IDA4258
Lineage: Bacteria; Bacillati; Bacillota; Bacilli; Caryophanales; Bacillaceae
Description: bacterial SSU rRNA
Rfam family: Bacterial small subunit ribosomal RNA
Source: RNAcentral